CGGACGGGUGAGUAAGUAUAGUUAAUCUGCCCUUUAGAGAGGAAUACUACUGGAAACGGUAGCUAAUACCUCAUACUCCUUUUACUUAAAUGGUAAUUGGGAAACGUUUUUUCGCUAAGGAUGAGACUAUAUGGUAUCAGGUAGUUGGUGGGGUAGAGCCUACCAAAACCAAAUGACGCCUAGCUGUUUGAAGGAUGUCCAGCCACACUGGAAUGAGACACGGUCCAACUCCUACGGAGCAGCAGUGGAAUAUUGCACAAUGGAGGAAUUUGAUGCAGCAACGCCGCGUGAGAUGACACAUUUCGGUGCGUAACUCCUUUUAUAUGGAAGAUAUGACGGUACCAUAGAAUAAGCACCGGCUAACUCCGUGCCAGCAGCCGCGGUAAACGGAAGUGCAGCGUUACUGGAAUCACUGGGCGUAAGCGCGCGCGGCGGCUAUUAGUUGGAGUAGACCUACGGCUCAACCGUAAACUGCUCCAAACUAUUAGCUAAGUGGGAAGGAAGAGGAAUUGUUGUGUGAGUGAUCCGUAAGAUACUAGAAUCCAAGGCGAAGGCAUCUCUGGACGUUACUGACGCUAGGCGCGAAAGCGGAGACGAACGGGAUUAGAUACCC
Molecule: ribosomal RNA, 613 nt
Filed under: uncultured bacterium
Lineage: Bacteria
Description: bacterial SSU rRNA
Rfam family: Bacterial small subunit ribosomal RNA
Source: RNAcentral